This 253-nucleotide ribosomal RNA is filed under the name uncultured bacterium. RNAcentral's name for it is "partial 16S ribosomal RNA". It matches the Rfam family "Bacterial small subunit ribosomal RNA", at positions 524 to 776 of the family's 1533-position model. The record is from RNAcentral.
UACCGAGGUCUCAAGCGUUGUUCGGAUUCAUUGGGCGUAAAGGGUGCGUAGGUGGCGCCGUAAGUCGGAUGUGAAAUUUCGGAGCUUAACUCCGAAACUGCAUUCGAUACUGCGGUGCUUGAGGACUGGAGAGGAGACUGGAAUUCAUGGUGUAGCAGUGAAAUGCGUAGAGAUCAUGGGGAAGACCAGUGGCGAAGGCGGGUCUCUGGACAGUUCCUGACACUGAGGCACGAAGGCCAGGGGAGCAAACGGG